This is a non-coding RNA of Cinara cedri, 316 nucleotides long. The record is from the annotation of a GenBank genome assembly. Lineage: Eukaryota; Metazoa; Arthropoda; Insecta; Hemiptera; Aphididae.
UUUUUUUUUAAAUUCAAUAUACUGAUACGGACAAAGCAAUACGGAAAUAAAGGUAAACAAAAUAAGAAAUUAACACGGAAAAUGCCGGGCGUGGAGCGGCUAGUAAUAUAAAAUGUCUACGAAAUAUUGUUAGAGCUUAAUUGAACGAGACGAAUUCAUUUUUCGAUGUACUUCAGGAGAAGGGAACAAGAAAAGUCCACAUCACUAUUUCCUUUGUACCUACAGGCUACAAUAGACUUGCAUUAUUUUGUACCACGUUAUCGAGCGUUAAUUAUCGUUUUAUUCGAAAUUAUGAACAAGUCGUUUUUGAGAGAAA